This 497-nucleotide ribosomal RNA is filed under the name uncultured bacterium. Its description in RNAcentral is "partial 16S ribosomal RNA". It matches the Rfam family "Bacterial small subunit ribosomal RNA", at positions 28 to 507 of the family's 1533-position model. The record is from RNAcentral.
GACGAACGCUGGCGGCGUGCCUAAUACAUGCAAGUAGAACGCUGAAGCGAGGAGCUUGCUCUUCUUGGAUGAGUUGCGAACGGGUGAGUAACGCGUAGGUAACCUGCCUUGUAGCGGGGGAUAACUAUUGGAAACGAUAGCUAAUACCGCAUAACAAUGGAUGACACAUGUCAUUUAUUUGAAAGGGGCAAUUGCUCCACUACAAGAUGGACCUGCGUUGUAUUAGCUAGUAGGUGAGGUAAUGGCUCACCUAGGCGACGAUACAUAGCCGACCUGAGAGGGGGAUCGGCCACACUGGGACGGAGACACGGCCCAGACUCCUACGGGAGGCAGCAGUAGGGAAUCUUCGGCAAUGGGGGCAACCCUGACCGAGCAACGCCGCGUGAGUGAAGAAGGUUUUCGGAUCGUAAAGCUCUGUUGUAAGUCAAGAACGGGUGUGAGAGUGGAAAGUUCACACUGUGACGGUAGCUUACCAGAAAGGGACGGCUAACUACGUG